CUUUAAUAAUAUUUAAUGACUAUCUUCCUUAUCACACAUGCUCCUGCAACUUCCAUUUUUAAGGGCUUUUUGGUAUUCCAGCAAAUAGGUCUGCCAUAAUUAGUUUUUCUUUUUUGAGACGGAGUCUUGCUCUGUCACCAGGCUGGAGUGCAGUGGCGCGAUCUCGGCUCACUGCAACCUCUGCCUCCUGGGUUCAAGCGAUUCUCCUGCCUCAGCCUCCUGAGUAGCUGGGACUACAGGUGCGCACCACCAUGCCCAGCCAAUUUUUGUAUUUUUAGUAGAGAUGGGGUUUCACCAUGUUGGCCAGGAUGGUCUCGAUCUCUUGAUCUCGUGAUCCACCUGCCUCGGCCUCCCAAAGUGCUGGGAUUACAGGUGUGAGCCACCGCGCCCGGCCUAUGAUUAGUUUUUUAAAAAGACCUGCUGGAAAACUUUUAAGUUGAUUUUUAUAUUUUCAUUAUUAUAAACAAGCAUUCUGUAAAUAACUCUCAUUAUAUAUCCAUGAUGAUUUUCUGAGGAUCAAUGUCUGGAAGUGGUAAAAUAGACUGCAAAGUUUUAAAAAGUUUUUUUCACUAUGAAUUGUCAAAUUGUCCUCCAGAAAAUUUGUGCUAAUUCAUGAAAAUUCUUUAGCAAUCACUUAUUUUUUUUUAAAGAAGCAAUUCUUUGCAAUGAGACUUCUUAAAAGGAUAUGUCUGUCUUUGUAUGAUUUUAAAAUGCAGUAUGUGAAUAGGGGUAACAAGAGUUCAACUAAAAGUUAACUGACUUUAGGUAGAUCCCAUGAGAGCUAAAUGUUUUUCAAUUUUAAAUGAAUAGUGAUAAGUAUUUAGUGUUCAACGUUUGGAUAAUAUCAGUUAUUAGGAAAUUGAAGUUGUGAGGAUGAAGAGAAAAAUCCCGGAGUUUUUUCCAUUAACAAUUCUCCCAGAUAUUAGCAUUUGGUUAAACCAAGCACUUAAAGGAGUCCGGGAUCGCCAUGGGAACUCAAUAGAAAAUCCUCAUCUUCUCACUUUGUUUCAUCGGCUCUGCAAACUCUUAUUUUUUCGAAUUCGUCCUAUUUUUGUGUUUGAUGGGGAUGCUCCACUAUUGAAGAAACAGACUUUGGUGAAGAGAAGGCAGAGAAAGGACUUAGCGUCCAGUGACUCCAGGAAAACGACAGAGAAGCUUCUGAAAACAUUUUUGAAAAGACAAGCCAUCAAAACUGCCUUCAGAAGCAAAAGGCAAGAGGAAAAUUAUAGUCGUGUUAGAGAUGAAGUUUUAAAAAAGUGAUUUUUGUCUUGAUUUCCUGCGAUUCUCUUUCCCUAUCUAAUUUUGACUCUCAACAGAAAAUAGAGAGUGAAAUGAGACAAGUAGGCUGCCAUUUUGACCUGGUAAUUUGGAGUUGUGGCAAUUCUCCGUUCUGUGAGAAUCAACUUUGCUAAUGAGAAAAAAAAGCUGUCGUGUUGCGUCAUGUACACUUUUUACUUUGAUUAUGGUCUUCUUGACUCUAGGUGAGCAGCCCCGCCAAGGUUCCUUCCUUUCUCUCGGCUGCAUUUAUUUUCCACAGCAGUGGCCUGAGAGCAGCCAGGUCAGGUCCCUGUUCACCAUCCUGAGCAGGGUCUGCAUAAUCUGUUUAAAGAUUUGUGUACUUUCCAGAGAUGAAGCACUACCCAGUCUUACCCAAGUUCGAAGAGAAAACGACCUCUAUGUUUUGCCUCCUUUACAAGAGGAAGAAAAACACAGUUCAGAAGAGGAAGAUG
This 1730-nucleotide long non-coding RNA is filed under the name Homo sapiens (human). RNAcentral describes it as "long non-coding RNA NONHSAT166198.1". The record is from RNAcentral. Lineage: Eukaryota; Metazoa; Chordata; Mammalia; Primates; Hominidae.